GACGAACGCUGGCGGCGUGCUUAACACAUGCAAGUCGAACGGUAAGGCCCUUCGGGGUACACGAGUGGCGAACGGGUGAGUAACAAGUGGGUGAUCUGCCCUGCACUUCGGGAUAAGCCUGGGAAACUGGGUCUUAUACCGGAGAGGACCACUGCCUGAAGGGGUGGUGGUGGAAAGCUGUUGUGGUGUGGGAUGGGCCCGCGGCCUAUCAGAUUGUUGGUGGGGUGAUGGCCUACCAAGGCGACGACGGGUAGCCGGCCUGAGAGGGUGACCGGCCACACUGGGACUGGGAUACGGCCCAGACUCCUACGGGAGGCAGCAGUGGGGAAUAUUGCACAAUGGGCGCAAGCCUGAUGCAGCGACGCCGCGUGAGGGAUGACGGCCUUCGGGUUGUAAACCUCUUUCAGCACCGACGAAGCGCAAGUGACGGUAGGUGCAGAAGAAGGACCGGCCAACUACGUGCCAGCAGCCGCCGUAA
Molecule: ribosomal RNA, 478 nt
Filed under: uncultured bacterium
Lineage: Bacteria
Description: partial 16S ribosomal RNA
Rfam family: Bacterial small subunit ribosomal RNA
Source: RNAcentral